This 380-nucleotide ribosomal RNA is filed under the name uncultured cyanobacterium. Its description in RNAcentral is "bacterial SSU rRNA". It matches the Rfam family "Bacterial small subunit ribosomal RNA", at positions 376 to 770 of the family's 1533-position model. The record is from RNAcentral. Lineage: Bacteria; Bacillati; Cyanobacteriota.
CGCAAGCCUGACGGAGCAAGACCGCGUGGGGGAGGAAUGCCUUAGGGUUGUAAACCCCUUUUAUCUGGGAAGAACAAAAUGACGGUACCAGAUGAAUAAGCCUCGGCUAACUCCGUGCCAGCAGCCGCGGUAAUACGGAGGAGGCAAGCGUUAUCCGGAUUUAUUGGGCGUAAAGCGUUCGCAGGUGGUUCUUCAAGUCUGCUGUUAAAGACAGUGGCUCAACUACUGAAAGGCAGUAGAUACUGAAGGACUAGAGUGCGGUAGGGGCAGAGGGAAUUCCCGGUGUAGCGGUGAAAUGCGUAGAUAUUAGGAAGAACACCAAUGGCGAAAGCACUCUGCUGGGCCACAACUGACACUGAGAGACGACAGCUAGGGGAGCA